RNAcentral lists this ribosomal RNA (16 nucleotides) under Quambalaria cyanescens. RNAcentral describes it as "partial 28S ribosomal RNA". Lineage: Eukaryota; Fungi; Basidiomycota; Exobasidiomycetes; Microstromatales; Quambalariaceae. The record is from RNAcentral.
UCUGGCCUCAAAUCAG